AUACGUAGGUGGCAAGCGUUGUCCGGAUUUAUUGGGCGUAAAGCGAGCGCUAGGCGGUUUUUUAAGUCUGAUGUGAAAGCCUUCGGCUCAACCGAAGAAGUGCAUCGGAAACUGGGAAACUUGAGUGCAGAAGAGGACAGUGGAACUCCAUGUGUAGCGGUGAAAUGCGUAGAUAUAUGGAAGAACACCAGCGGCGAAGGCGGCUGCCUGGUCUGUAACUGACGCUGAGGCUCGAAAGUAUGGGUAGC
This 248-nucleotide ribosomal RNA is filed under the name uncultured bacterium. RNAcentral describes it as "partial 16S ribosomal RNA". It matches the Rfam family "Bacterial small subunit ribosomal RNA", at positions 523 to 769 of the family's 1533-position model. The record is from RNAcentral.